RNAcentral lists this long non-coding RNA (245 nucleotides) under Elaeis guineensis (African oil palm). RNAcentral describes it as "long non-coding RNA (EGUI_LNC020926)". Lineage: Eukaryota; Viridiplantae; Streptophyta; Magnoliopsida; Arecales; Arecaceae. The record is from RNAcentral.
UGUGUGUGGAUGAAUGACGGACUUUGGAGUGUUUAGAGAUCUAUGCAGUGAGUGAUCCAAUGGUGGAUUCGUGCACAGGAACAUGAAUCCUUCUUUCAUUCCAAAGAUACAACCAUGAUCAUCCAUAAUGCUAAAGUUGUUACUUUUGUGCUCAAAACCGCAUUGACCAUCUCUUAGGUCUCAUAGCCUAGGGGAAUAAAGGCUACAGAUUUCCCCACUUGAAGCCUCCUCAAACUCGAUACUUA